CGGGGAAUAGCGCAGUCCGGCAGCGCGCUACGUUCGGGACGUAGAGGUCCGGGGUUCAAAUCCCCGUUCCCCGA
This 74-nucleotide transfer RNA is filed under the name Cyclobacteriaceae bacterium. RNAcentral describes it as "tRNA-Pro". It matches the Rfam family "tRNA". Rfam says of the family: Transfer RNA (tRNA) molecules are approximately 80 nucleotides in length. Their secondary structure includes four short double-helical elements and three loops (D, anti-codon, and T loops). Further hydrogen bonds mediate the characteristic L-shaped molecular structure. tRNAs have two regions of fundamental functional importance: the anti-codon, which is responsible for specific mRNA codon recognition, and the 3' end, to which the tRNAs corresponding amino acid is attached (by aminoacyl-tRNA synthetases). tRNAs cope with the degeneracy of the genetic code in two manners: having more than one tRNA (with a specific anti-codon) for a particular amino acid; and 'wobble' base-pairing, i.e. permitting non-standard base-pairing at the 3rd anti-codon position. The record is from RNAcentral. Lineage: Bacteria; Pseudomonadati; Bacteroidota; Cytophagia; Cytophagales; Cyclobacteriaceae.